GCCCAAGAGAUCGGGAUAACACCUGGAAACAGAUGCUAAUACCGGAUAACAACAGAUGAUGCCUAUCAACUGUUUAAAAGAUGGUUCUGCUAUCACUCUUGGAUGGACCUGCGGUGCAUUAGCUAGUUGGUAGGGUAACGGCCUACCAAGGCGAUGAUGCAUAGCCGAGUUGAGAGACUGAUCGGCCACAUUUGGACUGAGACACGGCCCAAACUCCUACGGGAGGCAGCAGCU
This 234-nucleotide ribosomal RNA is filed under the name uncultured Lactobacillus sp. RNAcentral describes it as "partial 16S ribosomal RNA". It matches the Rfam family "Bacterial small subunit ribosomal RNA", at positions 128 to 355 of the family's 1533-position model. The record is from RNAcentral. Lineage: Bacteria; Bacillati; Bacillota; Bacilli; Lactobacillales; Lactobacillaceae.